UUCGUGCACAUGAUGAUUACAUAGUUCAACCGAGAAACUAUCGUGUGGAUUCAUUUUUCUUUCGCUCCUAUCUGAACCACGAG
This 83-nucleotide small nucleolar RNA is filed under the name Spizellomyces punctatus DAOM BR117. Its description in RNAcentral is "Small nucleolar RNA snR60/Z15/Z230/Z193/J17". It matches the Rfam family "Small nucleolar RNA snR60/Z15/Z230/Z193/J17". From Rfam's summary of the family: The members of this family belong to the C/D class of snoRNAs which contain the C (UGAUGA) and D (CUGA) box motifs. Most of the members of the box C/D family function in directing site-specific 2'-O-methylation of substrate RNAs. Lineage: Eukaryota; Fungi; Chytridiomycota; Chytridiomycetes; Spizellomycetales; Spizellomycetaceae. The record is from Rfam by way of RNAcentral.